This 253-nucleotide ribosomal RNA is filed under the name uncultured bacterium. Its description in RNAcentral is "partial 16S ribosomal RNA". It matches the Rfam family "Bacterial small subunit ribosomal RNA", at positions 524 to 776 of the family's 1533-position model. The record is from RNAcentral.
GACGGAGGGUGCUAGCGUUGUUCGGAAUUACUGGGCGUAAAGGGCGCGUAGGCGGCUUCGGCAGUCGGGUGUGAAAGCCCGGGGCUCAACCCCGGAACGGCACCCGAGACUCCGGGGCUCGAGACCGGGAGAGGAGGGUGGAAUACCCAGUGUAGAGGUGAAAUUCGUAGAUAUUGGGUGGAACACCGGUGGCGAAAGCGGCUCUCUGGCCCGGAUCUGACGCUGAGGCGCGAAAGCGUGGGGAGCAAACAGG